GAGCUUUUGCUAACACGAAUACUAAAAUGGGAAGGCUACAGAGAAGAUCAGUUCGGUACGUGCACAAGGAUGACACACCAAAUCCUGAAGCCUUCCGUAUUUUU
Ornithorhynchus anatinus (platypus) is the source of this 104-nucleotide small nuclear RNA. NCBI's taxonomy places the organism in Eukaryota, Metazoa, Chordata, Mammalia, Monotremata, Ornithorhynchidae. The record is from RefSeq and is a predicted model, not a curated record.